Molecule: long non-coding RNA, 426 nt
Organism: Lolium rigidum
Lineage: Eukaryota; Viridiplantae; Streptophyta; Magnoliopsida; Poales; Poaceae
Exons: 4
Source: RefSeq, a predicted model, not a curated record
GCCGCGUGUGUGUGUCCUCCUGCUGCACGGCCGUGGAAUCACCAUGGACGCACUCACCAUCAAGCGCUACUCGGUUUUGAGUCUAUCAGUUUUGUUGGGGUGGACUCUAAGAAGUUCUUUCAGAUGGUUGAAGACAAGAAGAAGAGAAUACGCGGCCAACAUCUGAUGGAGCCGGUCAUGCAUUAUCACACAGCACCACGGGGUCUGGAGCAUGCAUUGUUUCUUCAAAUAGACUGAUGCGGGGACUGCUCUAUAUGCGGCAUAACCUGAUGAGGAUAUAGAGAACACCGAGGAUGCUGUAAUGGAAGAGAUGUCAAGGGUUAGGAACCAGUUUGACAAGAGUGGCGAGGGUGUCUAUGUGCAACGCAGCAAUGCAGGAGCCGCUGAGGAGCACAACGAGCUUCAGAGGAGCACGGAGAGCUUCGG